This is a long non-coding RNA of Octopus sinensis (East Asian common octopus), 99 nucleotides long. RefSeq lists it as uncharacterized. The transcript is spliced from 3 exons. The record is from RefSeq and is a predicted model, not a curated record. Lineage: Eukaryota; Metazoa; Mollusca; Cephalopoda; Octopoda; Octopodidae.
CUGGGGUCGAUUUAGGUAGGUCAUCUGAACACAACAUAUAUAGAUCAACUCACCAGAGACACUAAAUGCUCCCUGGAGACCUCCUUCAACUAAUGCAGA